CCCUUGGUAGUCUAGUUGGUUAUGGCGUUCGGCUGUAAUUGUGAUAAUUGUUACCGAAAAGUCACCGGUUCGAUUCCGGUCCGAGGGA
Hypoxylon fuscum is the source of this 88-nucleotide non-coding RNA. Lineage: Eukaryota; Fungi; Ascomycota; Sordariomycetes; Xylariales; Hypoxylaceae. The record is from the annotation of a GenBank genome assembly.